This is a non-coding RNA of Parasteatoda tepidariorum (common house spider), 195 nucleotides long. The record is from RefSeq and is a predicted model, not a curated record. NCBI's taxonomy places the organism in Eukaryota, Metazoa, Arthropoda, Arachnida, Araneae, Theridiidae.
AUAAAUAUAUCAUGUCCUACAAAAAGAGGAUCUGUAGACAAUAUUUCACACCUUUUCCUAAGUAUCCAAGAAAACAUGAACUCUCUCGUACUUAUCCUCGGAGUCACCCUUUUAGCUUUAUGUGAAGCUCGUCCAACUGUGCAUAAAGUCACUUCAAAACUGAUAACACACGGUAAGUAACUGUACAAUCUCAUU